UGGUUCUGGCAUCGAUGAAGAACGCAGCGAAAUGCGAUAAGUAAUGUGAAUUGCAGAAUUUAGUGAAUCAUCGAAUCUUUGAACGCACAUUGCGCCUACUGGUAUUCCGGUAGGCAUGCACGUUCGAGCGUCAUUGAACAUCCUCAGGUUUUACUUGGUGUUGGGCCUUGCUAGUCAAACAGCUGGCCUUAAAGUCAGUGGCGGCUGUCUCUCGGCUCUAAGCGUAGUAGAAUAUAUCGCUUUUGAGCUUAGGGACCGCCUGCCAGCAACCUUAAUUUCUAUGUUUGACCUCGGAUCGUGUAGGAGUACCCGCUGA
This 316-nucleotide unclassified non-coding RNA is filed under the name uncultured fungus. RNAcentral's name for it is "partial contains 5.8S ribosomal RNA and internal transcribed spacer 2". The stretch from base 1 to 133 matches the Rfam family "5.8S ribosomal RNA", at positions 22 to 154 of the family's 154-position model. Lineage: Eukaryota; Fungi. The record is from RNAcentral.